Molecule: ribosomal RNA, 981 nt
Filed under: Heliophanus cupreus
Lineage: Eukaryota; Metazoa; Arthropoda; Arachnida; Araneae; Salticidae
Description: eukaryotic LSU rRNA
Rfam family: Eukaryotic large subunit ribosomal RNA
Source: RNAcentral
AGGGAGGAGCCCAGCGCCGAAUCCCCGAUCUUCGGUCGUGGGAAAUGUGGCGUUUAGGAGUGAGCGUGCCGGGUUCGGAAGCGGCGGCAAGUCCCCCUGACCGGGGCCUGUCCAUAGCGGGUGCGAGGCCCAUAGCCGCUGCCUCCGUCUCGGAUGCGAUCUCCUUGGAGUCGGGUUGCUUGGGAGUGCAGCCCUAAUCGGGUGGUAAACUCCACCUAAGGCUAAAUACCGCCGUGAGACCGAUAGCAAACAAGUACCGUGAGGGAAAGUUGCAAAGAACUUUGAAGAGAGAGUUCAAGAGUACGUGAAACUGCUCAGAGGUAAACGGGUGGGCCCUCGAAAUCCUGUGGCGAGAGGAUUCAGUCUGGGUGGGCGGACUCGGAGGUGGAAAUCGGCAGGACUUCCCGGGACCGGGGUCGUCUGCCUCCGUGCCUUCCGUCUUGCCAGACGCAUUUGUCUCUCGUCCGAAGGACGCUGCAGCCGGUCUGGAAGUGCAAACGUGACGGCCUGAAGGUCGGGAAAUGGCAGGUGGCCGGUGGCUCGCCUCGUGCGGGUCGUCGGUUGUUAGCCGUCUCGUCAGUGGCUCGUCUCCAGACCGUGGUGUCGCGAGUCCCGUCAGGGACUCCACGUCUCCACCCCAGAGUCGCGGGACAGACCGUGGCAAGGGUGUCUCGUCCAUUUGUCGCACGCCCCACGCGUGGACCUAGAAACGAGACGCCCCGUUCGCUGCGGCGGGCCCGUUGGGGACAGGAGGCUGGCAGCGAGUAGGUCGGUCACCCACCCGACCCGUCUUGAAACACGGACCAAGGAGUCUAACAUGUGCGCGAGUCAAUGGGUCUUGAACAGGCCCAGGGGCGCAAUGAAAGCGAAGGUCGGCCUAGCGUCGGCUGAGCGGGGAUCCCUCUCUCUCGGGAGGGGGCGCACCCGCGACCCGUCCUGUGCUGCUCGCAGCUUGGGCGGAGUUUGAGCGUACACGUUGGG